GCCUUUUGUAGAAUGAACCGGCGAGUUACGAUUUGAUGCAAGGUUAAGCAGUAAAUGUGGAGCCGUAGCGAAAGCGAGUCUGAAUAGGGCGUUUAGUAUUUGGUCGUAGACCCGAAACCAGGUGAUCUACCCUUGGUCAGGUUGAAGUUCAGGUAACACUGAAUGGAGGACCGAACCGACUUACGUUGAAAAGUGAGCGGAUGAACUGAGGGUAGCGGAGAAAUUCCAAUCGAACCUGGAGAUAGCUGGUUCUCUCCGAAAUAGCUUUAGGGCUAGCCUCAAGUGAUGAUUAUUGGAGGUAGAGCACUGUUUGGACGAGGGGCCCCUCUCGGGUUACCGAAUUCAGACAAACUCCGAAUGCCAAUUAAUUUAACUUGGGAGUCAGAACAUGGGUGAUAAGGUCCGUGUUCGAAAGGGAAACAGCCCAGACCACCAGCUAAGGUCCCAAAAUAUAUGUUAAGUGGAAAAGGAUGUGGCGUUGCCCAGACAACUAGGAUGUUGGCUUAGAAGCAGCCAUCAUUUAAAGAGUGCGUAAUAGCUCACUAGUCGAGUGACACUGCGCCGAAAAUGUACCGGGGCUAAACAUAUUACCGAAGCUGUGGAUUGUCCUUUGGACAAUGGUAGGAGAGCGUUCUAAGGGCGUUGAAGCAUGAUCGUAAGGACAUGUGGAGCGCUUAGAAGUGAGAAUGCCGGUGUGAGUAGCGAAAGACGGGUGAGAAUCCCGUCCACCGAUUGACUAAGGUUUCCAGAGGAAGGCUCGUCCGCUCUGGGUUAGUCGGGUCCUAAGCUGAGGCCGACAGGCGUAGGCGAUGGAUAACAGGUUGAUAUUCCUGUACCACCUAUAAUCGUUUUA
RNAcentral lists this ribosomal RNA (853 nucleotides) under Staphylococcus aureus. Its description in RNAcentral is "partial 23S ribosomal RNA". It matches the Rfam family "Bacterial large subunit ribosomal RNA", at positions 603 to 1461 of the family's 2925-position model. The record is from RNAcentral. Lineage: Bacteria; Bacillati; Bacillota; Bacilli; Caryophanales; Staphylococcaceae.